This is an RNA transcript of Plutella xylostella (diamondback moth), 889 nucleotides long. It is a transcript of the gene named peptidyl-prolyl cis-trans isomerase NIMA-interacting 4, with no coding region annotated. The record is from RefSeq and is a predicted model, not a curated record. NCBI's taxonomy places the organism in Eukaryota, Metazoa, Arthropoda, Insecta, Lepidoptera, Plutellidae.
UCCUGUCAUAUGGCAUAACAUAACCUACAAAAGUAAACAAAUGUAAUUUAAAUUUUUAAUAACAUUAUUCUUUUAUCAAAUACAGUUAGAAUUGCUGAACUACAUAAUUGAAAUGCCGCCUAAAAAGCAGCCAGAGAAAGGAAAGGCAGGCGGGAGUGGCAAAGGUGGUGGAAAAUCCGGCGGGGAUGCUAAAGAAUCGGCCGGCAAAGAGAAAAAGGGUGGAACUGCUGUCAAAGUACGUCACAUACUGUGCGAAAAACAGUCAAAAUGCAUGGAGGCUUUAGAAAAAUUAAAAGCUGGGCAAAAGUUUCCUGAUGUAGCUGCGGCCUACAGUGAGGACAAGGCGCGCCAGGGCGGCGACCUCGGCUGGCAGAUCCGCGGCGCCAUGGUGGGACCCUUCCAGGACGCCGCAUUCGCCCUCCCCAUCUCUACAGUAGCUAACCCUGUCUACACUGACCCACCCAUCAAAACUAAAUUUGGCUAUCACAUUAUAAUGGUUGAAGGCAAAAAAUGAAUGAAAUGGUGUUUGAACUUGAAUAUUUUUGGGCCAUACUGCUGCUGUUUGUGAUGGAGCGGAUAUGCUGCCUGCAGGAGCAGUUCGAUAAAGACUUUGUUACUUUGCCUGACCCACAAUAUUCUACCGAGUCUUUCAAUGAAGACAUUGAUGAGUUUUCUAACAAAGAUUCUGGUCUGAAGCUGAGUUUCUUGCGUCUGUGUCAGCUGAUGCAUGUGAUGAUGCUCCUGGCACUAGUCUACUUCUGCAAUUUCUGCCUCUGGUUCAUUAUGUCCAAGAAAUCUUUGCCCAGACAGCUACGGUACAAAUUCAGAAUAACUAUGCCUACUGCCUAGCAAGUGACUUAAUUAAUAAACCUUUCCUAAGUCAUUUUAA